UACGUAGGUGGCAAGCGUUGUCCGGAUUUACUGGGCGUAAAGGGAGCGUAGGCGGAUUUUUAAGUGGGAUGUGAAAUACUCGGGCUCAACCUGGGUGCUGCAUUCCAAACUGGAAGUCUAGAGUACAGGAGGGGAAAGCGGAAUUCCUAGUGUAGCGGUGAAAUGCGUAGAGAUUAGGAAGAACACCAGUGGCGAAGGCGGCUUUCUGGACUGUAACUGACGCUGAGGCUCGAAAGCGUGGGGAGCAAACAGG
RNAcentral lists this ribosomal RNA (253 nucleotides) under uncultured bacterium. RNAcentral describes it as "partial 16S ribosomal RNA". It matches the Rfam family "Bacterial small subunit ribosomal RNA", at positions 524 to 776 of the family's 1533-position model. The record is from RNAcentral.